This 1337-nucleotide ribosomal RNA is filed under the name uncultured bacterium. RNAcentral's name for it is "bacterial SSU rRNA". It matches the Rfam family "Bacterial small subunit ribosomal RNA", at positions 28 to 1381 of the family's 1533-position model. The record is from RNAcentral.
GACGAACGCUGGCGGCGUGCUUAACACAUGCAAGUCGAACGGAAAGGCCCUUCGGGGUACUCGAGUGGCGAACGGGUGAGUAACACGUGGGUGAUCUGCCCUGCACUUUGGGAUAAGCCUGGGAAACUGGGUCUAAUACCGAAUAGGACCACGCGCUUCAUGGUGUGUGGUGGAAAGCUUUUGCGGUGUGGGAUGGGCCCGCGGCCUAUCAGCUUGUUGGUGGGGUAAUGGCCUACUAAGGCGACGACGGGUAGCCGGCCUGAGAGGGUGACCGGCCACACUGGGACUGAGAUACGGCCCAGACUCCUAUGGGAGGCAGCAGUGGGGAAUAUUGCACAAUGGGCGCAAGCCUGAUGCAGCGACGCCGCGUGAGGGAUGACGGCCUUCGGGUUGUAAACCUCUUUCAAUAGGGACGAAGCGCAAGUGACGGUACCUAUAGAAGAAGCACCGGCCAACUACGUGCCAGCAGCCGCGGUAAUACGUAGGGUGCGAGCGUUGUCCGGAAUUACUGGGCGUAAAGAGCUCGUAGGUGGUUUGUCGCGUUGUUCGUGAAAACUCACAGCUUAACUGUGGGCGUGCGGGCGAUACGGGCAGACUAGAGUACUGCAGGGGAGACUGGAAUUCCUGGUGUAGCGGUGGAAUGCGCAGAUAUCAGGAGGAACACCGGUGGCGAAGGCGGGUCUCUGGGCAGUAACUGACGCUGAGGAGCGAAAGCGUGGGGAGCGAACAGGAUUAGAUACCCUGGUAGUCCACGCCGUAAACGGUGGGUACUAGGUGUGGGUUCCUUCCUUGGGAUCCGUGCCGUAGCUAACGCAUUAAGUACCCCGCCUGGGGAGUACGGCCGCAAGGCUAAAACUCAAAGGAAUUGACGGGGGCCCGCACAGGCGGCGGAGCAUGUGGAUUAAUUCGAUGCAACGCGAAGAACCUUACCUGGGUUUGACAUGCACAGGACGCCGGCAGAGAUGUCGGUUCCCUUGUGGCCUGUGUGCAGGUGGUGCAUGGCUGUCGUCAGCUCGUGUCGUGAGAUGUUGGGUUAAGUCCCGCAACGAGCGCAACCCUUGUCCUAUGUUGCCAGCGGGUUAUGUCGGGGACUCGUAGGAGACUGCCGGGGUCAACUCGGAGGAAGGUGGGGAUGACGUCAAGUCAUCAUGCCCCUUAUGUCCAGGGCUUCACACAUGCUACAAUGGCCGGUACAAAGGGCUGCGAUGCCGUGAGGUGGAGCGAAUCCUUUCAAAGCCGGUCUCAGUUCGGAUCGGGGUCUGCAACUCGACCCCGUGAAGUCGGAGUCGCUAGUAAUCGCAGAUCAGCAACGCUGCGGUGAAUACGUUCCCGGGCCU